AUCUUCAGGGCGAGGUGAAAUUCCUCACCGGCGGUAACGGAGCAAUCCGAAGCCCGCGAGCGAAAGCUGAUUCGGUGCAAUUCCGAAGCCGACGGUACAGUCCGGAUGAAAGAAGAA
Molecule: non-coding RNA, 117 nt
Filed under: pig gut metagenome
Description: FMN riboswitch (RFN element)
Rfam family: FMN riboswitch aptamer (RFN element)
About the family: The RFN element is a highly conserved domain that is found frequently in the 5'-untranslated regions of prokaryotic mRNAs that encode for flavin mononucleotide (FMN) biosynthesis and transport proteins.
Source: RNAcentral